RNAcentral lists this ribosomal RNA (419 nucleotides) under uncultured eukaryote. RNAcentral's name for it is "bacterial SSU rRNA". It matches the Rfam family "Eukaryotic small subunit ribosomal RNA", at positions 592 to 1018 of the family's 1831-position model. The record is from RNAcentral.
CAAUAGCGUAUAUUAAAGUUGUUGCAGUUAAAAAGCUCGUAGUUGGAUUUCUGGGAGGGUGCCAAUGUCCGUCGUCGUACGUGUUGCAGCGGCGCCCUUCCAUCCUUCUGUUAACGACUUUGGGCAUUCAUUUGCCGGAGUCGGGCUCAGAUAUUUUACCUUGAGAAAAUUAGAGUGUUCAAAGCAGGCGUCGGCUUGAAUACAUUAGCAUGGAAUAAUGGAAUAGGACUUUGGUUCUAUUUUGUUGGUUUCUAGGACCGAAGUAAUGAUUAAUAGGGACAGUUGGGGGCAUUAGUAUUUAAUUGUCAGAGGUGAAAUUCUUGGAUUUAUGAAAGACUAACUACUGCGAAAGCAUUUGCCAAGGAUGUUUUCAUUAAUCAAGAACGAAAGUUAGGGGAUCGAAGACGAUCAGAUACCAU